UCGGUGGUGGGUCCGACGGAGCAGAGCCUGGGGUCUCCCAUGGGCAAUGCAUCGGCAAGGUUGUUGCCUACCAGCUCGGCGCACCCAUGUGGCCAGCACUCAUCCUCCAGCUCUGAGUUCCUUCACAUGCGUUAUCCGUGUACGUGUGUUUUCUUCCUGAUUCCUGCUCGUUCAUGGGUUUCUUAUUUCUUUCUUAUUUUUUUCGUUACCAAUUAACCUUUCUUGUUUUUUUUGCCCCAGCUCCUCCAUCUAUUUUUGGAUUGCGCCCCGAAGUUAUGCUUAGAUGGUUAUGCUUGUUGCAAACUAUUUAUUUUCCUUCCUUCC
RNAcentral lists this long non-coding RNA (324 nucleotides) under Setaria italica (foxtail millet). RNAcentral's name for it is "long non-coding RNA (SITA_LNC003780)". Lineage: Eukaryota; Viridiplantae; Streptophyta; Magnoliopsida; Poales; Poaceae. The record is from RNAcentral.